Molecule: long non-coding RNA, 2742 nt
Organism: Triticum aestivum (bread wheat)
Lineage: Eukaryota; Viridiplantae; Streptophyta; Magnoliopsida; Poales; Poaceae
Exons: 10
Source: RefSeq, a predicted model, not a curated record
UCGUUUCACCAUCGUACUGUUUUUACCGCUGGCAGUCGUUGGGCCGUUCGUUCUGGUUGCACAUAGCCAAUUCCAUUAGGAGUCAAUGACAUGUGGGACUCAUUGAGUGUAGGCCCAAGCAAUGAAGUGAGUUUGUCUCCUGUUCUGGGUACGAGAAAACCCGACGUGCGGAGUGCGCGGUGAAAACCCUAGCCUCCAAUCCCCUUCCUCCCUCGAGCCCCGCGCCUCCACCCACUCGCCUCUUUUCUCAUCCACCGCCUUGCACGUCCUCCUCCCCUUCACUUCUCAAGCCGCACCGCCAACCAUCUGCGCCCCACGACGACGGCGACUUUGCUGCCACCCCGGCGGCCGCGGGGCGCAGCUGGCCUUCAUGGGCCGCAUCAUCGCCACGCUCGACCGCAGCUACCGCUAGGGCCGCUCCCACGCGCUGCUCGAGUCGCCCGCCGGCACCGGCAGGUCGCUCUCCCUCCUUUGCGUCGCGCUGGCCUGGCAGCGCCACUGCCCAGCUCGGUACGCCCCAGCCGCCAACCCCCCUCCUCCACGACGACGCCUUCAUCCCUGGCAACACCCGGCAGCAGCCCACUACUGACAUCCCGGAGAAGGCGGCGGCUGCCAAGAAGAAGAAUGCGCCGACCAUCUACUACAUCACGUAAGAUCUGCUCUCAAAUGAACUGAAAUGAUGGGGCAAUCUUGCCAGCCAGGUUUCUUGGCUGCUUGUCUUGAAUCGAUUAGAUGAAUCCUGAUUGAUUUCAUUUCCCUUCAAAAAAUCCUGAUUAGUUUCUUGGUUCCAUUGUCUAUCGGUUGUGGGAGGACGCACUGUCAGAUAACCCAGGUGGUCAUGGAGCUGUGCAAGACGAUGGCCAUCUUGGCCUCAAGGAAGCACUAUUGCAUCAAUAAGACCGUAUGCAUGGCUGAGCCAAUUGACGAGGAAUUGUGACAUACAAGACACAUAUAUUUACUAAUCAUUUGGGUUCUUCAUUGUAAACCAUUUAGUGAGACCUUUUCUCCAUCAGCAAGAAGCUUCUAGAUGACAAAGUUCAAGGAUGCCCAGAAUUCAAAAACUGAGUCAUCGUCCAUCCCUUCGGACCGAUGGCUGCUAUGAAGUUCCUGAUAUUGAGGAUCUUCCUAGGGUCGGAACACAAGUCAAAGUUAUUUACAGGAUGUCCAUAUUUUGCUGCACAAACCAUGCAUGGCAAAAGCAGCACAAUUGAUUUUCUGCCCAUAUAGCAACCUAAUUAGUCCAAUUGUCAGGAGAGCAAUGGACAUUGAUAUCAUUGGCUCAAUUGUUAUUCUUGAUGAAGCGCAGUAAGCCCCUGAGUCUGCAGACUCAUGAUUCUUUUUCAGUGUCAUUCAAUGGUUUCCUUAGUUGCAAGACAACGGCUCCCUAUGUUACCGAUCCGGUGUUGCUGUGCGUGAGGACGGACAUGGGGAAGGUGCAACAAGGCAGCGCUCAAGUUGCAGUGGAGUGGAGUCGACCAUCACUACUGACCGCUGCUCGGCGAUCCUCGCCCCUCACCCCCCAUCUAGAUGUGGUUAGGAACUAAAUCGACAAGCAUCGAUAUUUUUGUUAGGAAGGAGCGCUAGGAGCCUAGGAGUGGAACACGAUUUCCUCGAAUCUAGCCGAGGCCUCUGCUUUUUUCGUCAUCUUCCAUCGGUCCAAGCUGCUAUUGUUCGCUCCGUCGGCUUGCAGUUGCUUCUGGAGCGUGCUUCAGAUUCAUUGUGCCUCCUUCCAAUAUAAAUGUUUGUGCUGAAGUGGUAGCCAAGACAAACGCAGUAAUCGAAUCAAGAAAUUAGAUGAUAGGACCGAAGAUUGGGGACAAAAUAACUCAAACCAACAGACCAACCAUGAGGGUUCUAUAUAUACGACAAACGAGUAGUUGACAAAAUGAGGUGCUAAGAAAACUUGAGGUUCAUGAUUUGCUCUUGGAUCAAACUGAAAAUUAAUUUCAGUUGAAGAAUUAGUAGCAUGUAUCCUCUGAUUACCAACAGGGAAGAACUGCUCCAGUCGAAGAGCAGACAUUAUUCAUUGUGCCAACAGACUGCCUGGAAAGGAAGAAAUCGUAUGAAGUACAUCAGCACCCAUCUUAUCACCAGUUGGGGGAUUGUUUUUUCUCUCCUCGUCAACAAAGCUUGCAUCAGGCGGUCGGGUCGGAGAGAGAGACUUACCUGGAGCUGUACAAUCACACAGGAGAGGGUGGAGGGGCUCAUGGCGGCGGCGAGGCAACAGGAGGAGGGAGGGGCCCGGUGUCGCCGACGAGCAUGCCAAGCUCGAGCGCCUCCUCGAGCACUUAGGCGACUGGAUUCGAAGAAGGAGCAGGGCAGAGGAGAGGCGUGGAGUCCUGCGCCUCCGCGUCCGCCUCCGAUGGAGCCUAGAGCGCGCUGGCGCGAGCAUGCCGAGCUCGAGGGCCUUCUCGGCCACUUCUGCGGCCAGAUUCGACAUGAGGAGGGGGGAUCAGUGGCUGUGAAUCUCGCUGACCGCCGGCUAUGGAGGGAGGGAGCUGGUGAUGGGAGAAAUGGGGAAUGGGGGAGAUGUGACGGGCGGUGGAGAGGAUGACUGCUGGUUUUUCAGUACUACUGUAUUAGGAAGUGACAAGAGCUUGUCAAUUAGUGGGAAUGGAUUCGUAGGCGGUGGGAAUGGAUUCUGGACGGCUGGACCCAAACAAAUUUUCUUUAUCUUCUACAAAUAAAAAGAAUCGAUUAUUUCUUCCAAACAAUCCAUUAUAUUUUAUCAGACGUGCCUCA